CUUAUACUCCUUCCGUUUUAAAAUUCCUGUCUUAGAUUUGUCUAGAUAUGAAUGUAUCUAGUCACGUUUUACUAUUUCGAUACAUCCAUUUCUAGACUAAUUUAAGACAGGAAUUUUAGGACGGAAGGAGUAUUUA
Non-coding RNA from Hordeum vulgare subsp. vulgare (domesticated barley), 136 nucleotides. Lineage: Eukaryota; Viridiplantae; Streptophyta; Magnoliopsida; Poales; Poaceae. The record is from Rfam.